This 465-nucleotide ribosomal RNA is filed under the name Vreelandella stevensii. RNAcentral describes it as "partial 16S ribosomal RNA". It matches the Rfam family "Bacterial small subunit ribosomal RNA", at positions 338 to 795 of the family's 1533-position model. The record is from RNAcentral. Lineage: Bacteria; Pseudomonadati; Pseudomonadota; Gammaproteobacteria; Oceanospirillales; Halomonadaceae.
CCUACGGGAGGCAGCAGUGGGGAAUAUUGGACAAUGGGCGAAAGCCUGAUCCAGCCAUGCCGCGUGUGUGAAGAAGGCCUUCGGGUUGUAAAGCACUUUCAGUGGGGAAGAAAGCCUUGGGGCUAAUACCCUCGAGGAAGGACAUCACCCACAGAAGAAGCACCGGCUAACUCCGUGCCAGCAGCCGCGGUAAUACGGAGGGUGCGAGCGUUAAUCGGAAUUACUGGGCGUAAAGCGCGCGUAGGCGGUCUGAUAAGCCGGUUGUGAAAGCCCCGGGCUCAACCUGGGAACGGCAUCCGGAACUGUCAGGCUAGAGUGCAGGAGAGGAAGGUAGAAUUCCCGGUGUAGCGGUGAAAUGCGUAGAGAUCGGGAGGAAUACCAGUGGCGAAGGCGGCCUUCUGGACUGACACUGACGCUGAGGUGCGAAAGCGUGGGUAGCAAACAGGAUUACAUACCCCAGUAGUC